CCUACGGGUGGCAGCAGUGGGGGAUAUUGCACAAUGGGGGGAACCCUGAUGCAGCGACGCCGCGUGGGUGAAGAAGCGCCUCGGCGCGUAAAGCCCUGUCAGCAGGGAAGAAAAUGACGGUACCUGAAGAAGAAGCCCCGGCGAACUACGUGCCAGAAGCCGCGGGAAUACGGAGGGGGCAAGCGUUAUCCGGAAUUACGGGGGGUAAAGGGGGCGCAGACGGCGAGGCAAGGCAGGAGUGAAAGCCCGGGGCCGAACCCCGGGAUUGCUCUUGGAACUGGGUGGCUGGAGUGCAGGAGGGGCAGGCGGAAUUCCUGGUGUAGCGGUGAAAUGCGUAGAUAUCAGGAGGAACACCGGUGGCGAAGGCGGCCUGCUGGACUGCAACUGACGUUGAGGCCCGAAAGCGUGGGGAGCAAACAGGAUUAGAUACCCCUGUAGUC
This 440-nucleotide ribosomal RNA is filed under the name uncultured bacterium. RNAcentral describes it as "partial 16S ribosomal RNA". It matches the Rfam family "Bacterial small subunit ribosomal RNA", at positions 338 to 795 of the family's 1533-position model. The record is from RNAcentral.